CUUUGCUUCCCUGACCGUCGCUGAGGAUAAGCAGUUUGGUGUUCUGGAGUCAGGUCAUUCUGCUUAUCUAUCAGGAGGUAAAGAAGCACCGAAGAGCCCUGCUGAGGAUCCUAGUGCGCCACAUCGUCAGGAUCUCAGAGCGAGAGGACACAGCGGAUGCUGAAACACAGAAGAGCAGAUGCUGAUGUGGCUGACUUGUCUGUGCUCACAGAGACAGCACAAAGCAAUUCCAGCAUAUACAGGUAAAUCUGCUGGUUCCAUCCAACAUUAAUCCCGUCGGAGAGAGAAUACUACUCCCCAGACCGAGCAACAAAGAAGAGAAAAGACAUUUUCAGGACUGAGUCAACCUUUCUCCCGAGGAAAGCAAAUGGGGUGAGAAGACAGAAUGGGAACUAACUUCUCUUUCUCACAGAGGUUUCCCUUCGGGUGCAGGCAGUAGCUGCAUUCUCUACACUCUGGAAGAGGAAACAUUAAAACUUUAUCUCCUGAGGAAAAAGAAAAGAGAAAGUUAGGCCAGCUCAGGGGAGACCUGAAAUACAGUCAAUACCAUUGGGAACUGCUUAGAGCAGAUGUCAUCAUUUUGUUGCAGAGGAGCGGAGGUGUGGUAUUUGAAGUUAAUUAUCAUUCCACUCUGGGGUAAAAAUUCAAUUUUAAUAUCAAUAGACCUGCAAGAUUAAAAAAAAAGAAUUCAGGUAUUUGCCACUCGUGGUAUUGAGGUUCAAAGACAAGAGGUAGCUACAUCCAAGAGUGAAAUCAGUCUUUGUGGUAUACAAGGCUUGUCUGUUUGGCUCAGUGUUCCAGGAGAAAAGUAGAAUCUGUGCUUACUGAUAUUUAUUGGAAGAAUGAAUCAUAUAUGAGCUAAAUUAGAAUCACUACUCAUUACGAGGUGUUGUAUUAUGCUAGAGCUUGAGGGAAGGCGGCCUGUGCCCUUCAUCCUAUUCUGUCAUUAAGCAGCUAAAUUAAUCAAAGGAAUUGACCUUUUUCAGGGCAUUGCUUCAUAGGUGAUUGAGAUCAGUCUGUGUCCUGCCCUGAGCUACUCCAUAUCACACAAAACAAUGGUUUUCAGAGCGAUUGCCCCGAAAAAUGACUUUACAUGGAGCUUUUGACUCCUUUUGAGAAAGGAGGGAACUAACUGCUCCUAGGACACCAUCCAGAGAUCUCAGCCCUCAUAAAGCCUCUGUUUAUUGGCUUUUCUUUCAGUUUUCCAGCUUUCCUCUUAGGUCCCUUGCAAUGCCUUGCCUCUGUAACCUACACAUAUAACCAUUCUGUAGUUCCUACCCUCAACAUAGCCAC
Non-coding RNA from Myodes glareolus (Bank vole), 1293 nucleotides. The record is from RefSeq and is a predicted model, not a curated record. NCBI's taxonomy places the organism in Eukaryota, Metazoa, Chordata, Mammalia, Rodentia, Cricetidae.